RNAcentral lists this transfer RNA (72 nucleotides) under Toxocara canis (dog roundworm). It matches the Rfam family "tRNA". From Rfam's summary of the family: Transfer RNA (tRNA) molecules are approximately 80 nucleotides in length. Their secondary structure includes four short double-helical elements and three loops (D, anti-codon, and T loops). Further hydrogen bonds mediate the characteristic L-shaped molecular structure. tRNAs have two regions of fundamental functional importance: the anti-codon, which is responsible for specific mRNA codon recognition, and the 3' end, to which the tRNAs corresponding amino acid is attached (by aminoacyl-tRNA synthetases). tRNAs cope with the degeneracy of the genetic code in two manners: having more than one tRNA (with a specific anti-codon) for a particular amino acid; and 'wobble' base-pairing, i.e. permitting non-standard base-pairing at the 3rd anti-codon position. Lineage: Eukaryota; Metazoa; Nematoda; Chromadorea; Rhabditida; Toxocaridae. The record is from Rfam by way of RNAcentral.
GCGGCAAUAGCUCGGUGGUAGAGCCCCCGCUUCGUAUGCCGGAAGACCUGGGUUCGAUUCCCGGCUGUUCCC